RNAcentral lists this ribosomal RNA (670 nucleotides) under uncultured bacterium. Its description in RNAcentral is "bacterial SSU rRNA". It matches the Rfam family "Bacterial small subunit ribosomal RNA", at positions 97 to 765 of the family's 1533-position model. The record is from RNAcentral.
GGCGCACGGGUGAGUAACGCGUAUGCAACCUACCUUCAACUGGGGGAUAGCCCAGGGAAACUUGGAUUAAUACCCCAUAGUAUUUAUGAAUCGCAUGGUUUAUAAAUUAAAGUUCCGGCGGUUGAAGAUGGGCAUGCGUGCCAUUAGUUAGUUGGUGAGGUAACGGCUCACCAAGACAGCGAUGGCUACGGGGUCUAAAAGGAUGGUCCCGCACACUGGUACUGAGACACGGACCAGACUCCUACGGGAGGCAGCAGUGAGGAAUAUUGGUCAAUGGGCGCAAGCCUGAACCAGCCAUGCCGCGUGCAGGAAGACGGCCCUAUGGGUUGUAAACUGCUUUUGUACGGGAAUAAUAACCACGACGUGUCGUGGGACGAAGGUACCGUACGAAUAAGCAUCGGCUAACUCCGUGCCAGCAGCCGCGGUAAUACGGAGGAUGCAGGCGUUAUCCGGAUUUAUUAGGUUUAAAGGGUGCGCAGGCGGCCCGGUAAGUCAGUGGUGAAAGUUUGCAGCUUAACUGUAAAAUUGCCAUUGAUACUGUCGGGCUUGAAUGUGGUAGAGGUAGGCGGAAUGUGUAGUGUAGCGGUGAAAUGCUUAGAUAUUACACAGAACACCGAUUGCGAAGGCAGCUUACUAUGCCAUGAUUGACGCUGAGGCACGAAAGCGUGGG